UGUACGGCAGUGGAGGUGGUCAGCUUUCGGACACAACUCCGGUGACACACUAGUAUUCUACCUUUGGGAUGAAACAAAUUAUGGCCUAUUUUAAGUGUUUCGUAAAAACAAAACAGUAACAGCUUUUAACUGAACUCCGAGCCACCGUGUGUGCCUUAGAGCCUUGUGUGGCUGCUCAGGAAUUUAAAACUGCACAACGGG
Molecule: non-coding RNA, 201 nt
Organism: Rattus norvegicus (Norway rat)
Lineage: Eukaryota; Metazoa; Chordata; Mammalia; Rodentia; Muridae
Source: Rfam